CUUCAUGCGCGUUUGAAUUUAGCAAAAAGUUAACGUUGUAGCCUAAGUUACUCCGUAUUACAUCAGUUAUCUGCCAGUGAAAGUCCCGUCAACAAAGCCGGAACAGACAGACAGACAGACAAAAAUUGUAAAAAAUGUUAUUUUGGUAUAUGUACCGUGUAUACAUACAUAUGCAUUUAGUGAAAAUGGGUUAUUUUAUUAUUACAAACAGACACUCCAAUUUUAUUAUAUGCAUAGAUUAAAUUAAGUUUUUAUAAAAACUUUUGAUAAUCAUUUUGGAAUUUAAUCUAACUCUUCCACUGGUUCGGAAUGUAAUUCUACGGAACCGGCAAGAUAUUUAACAGUUCUUUCAAUGAACAGAUGUAUACUAAUAUUAUAUGUAAAUGCGAAAGUUACUCUGAACCCAAUUUGAUGAAACUUGGUAUGAACUAAGCUGAGCUUGAAUCCCAAGGUCGACUUGAGAACGAACCCCUAAAACGAAGCCGCGGGCGACAACUUGUAACAACUAAAUGAUCAAUCAAUCUGAAAUUUGAUUAUAUUCGUAUUGUUUUUGUUUUUCUUUUUACAAUUUUCUGUGAUACAUUUACGCUAAACCAAAUGUUGAAUAAUAUUUAUGUUGAUAAUUAAAUAGCAAUGAAUUAUUAAA
Molecule: long non-coding RNA, 646 nt
Organism: Vanessa tameamea
Lineage: Eukaryota; Metazoa; Arthropoda; Insecta; Lepidoptera; Nymphalidae
Exons: 2
Source: RefSeq, a predicted model, not a curated record